This 257-nucleotide ribosomal RNA is filed under the name uncultured Glomus. RNAcentral's name for it is "partial 18S ribosomal RNA". It matches the Rfam family "Eukaryotic small subunit ribosomal RNA", at positions 624 to 886 of the family's 1831-position model. The record is from RNAcentral. Lineage: Eukaryota; Fungi; Glomeromycota; Glomeromycetes; Glomerales; Glomeraceae.
AAGCUCGUAGUUGAAUUUCGGGGUUAGUAGGUUGGUCAUGCCUCUGGUAUGUACUGGUCUCACUGAUUCCUCCUUCCUUAUGAACCGUAAUGCCAUUAAUUUGGUGUUGCGGGGAAUUUGGACUGUUACUUUGAAAAAAUUAGAGUGUUUAAAGCAAGCUAACGCUUGAAUACAUUAGCAUGGAAUAAUGAAAUAGGACGUUCGAUCUUAUUUUGUUGUUUCUAGGAUUGACGUAAUGAUUAAUAGGGAUAGUUGGG